UUAAGCGACUAAGCGUACACGGUGGAUGCCCUGGCAGUCAGAGGCGAUGAAGGACGUGCUAAUCUGCGAUAAGCGUCGGUAAGGUGAUAUGAACCGUUAUAACCGGCGAUUUCCGAAUGGGGAAACCCAGUGUGUUUCGACACACUAUCAUUAACUGAAUCCAUAGGUUAAUGAGGCGAACCGGGGGAACUGAAACAUCUAAGUACCCCGAGGAAAAGAAAUCAACCGAGAUUCCCCCAGUAGCGGCGAGCGAACGGGGAGGAGCCCAGAGCCUGAAUCAGUGUGUGUGUUAGUGGAAGCGUCUGGAAAGGCGCGCGAUACAGGGUGACAGCCCCGUACACAAAAAUACACAUACUGUGAGCUCGAUGAGUAGGGCGGGACACGUGGUAUCCUGUCUGAAUAUGGGGGGACCAUCCUCCAAGGCUAAAUACUCCUGACUGACCGAUAGUGAACCAGUACCGUGAGGGAAAGGCGAAAAGAACCCCGGCGAGGGGAGUGAAAAAGAACCUGAAACCGUGUACGUACAAGCAGUGGGAGCACGCUUAGGCGUGUGACUGCGUACCUUUUGUAUAAUGGGUCAGCGACUUAUAUUCUGUAGCAAGGUUAACCGAAUAGGGGAGCCGAAGGGAAACCGAGUCUUAACUGGGCGUUAAGUUGCAGGGUAUAGACCCGAAACCCGGUGAUCUAGCCAUGGGCAGGUUGAAGGUUGGGUAACACUAACUGGAGGACCGAACCGACUAAUGUUGAAAAAUUAGCGGAUGACUUGUGGCUGGGGGUGAAAGGCCAAUCAAACCGGGAGAUAGCUGGUUCUCCCCGAAAGCUAUUUAGGUAGCGCCUCGUGAAUUCAUCUCCGGGGGUAGAGCACUGUUUCGGCAAGGGGGUCAUCCCGACUUACCAACCCGAUGCAAACUGCGAAUACCGGAGAAUGUUAUCACGGGAGACACACGGCGGGUGCUAACGUCCGUCGUGAAGAGGGAAACAACCCAGACCGCCAGCUAAGGUCCCAAAGUCAUGGUUAAGUGGGAAACGAUGUGGGAAGGCCCAGACAGCCAGGAUGUUGGCUUAGAAGCAGCCAUCAUUUAAAGAAAGCGUAAUAGCUCACUGGUCGAGUCGGCCUGCGCGGAAGAUGUAACGGGGCUAAACCAUGCACCGAAGCUGCGGCAGCGACGCUGAUGCGUUGUUGGGUAGGGGAGCGUUCUGUAAGCCUGCGAAGGUGUGCUGUGAGGCAUGCUGGAGGUAUCAGAAGUGCGAAUGCUGACAUAAGUAACGAUAAAGCGGGUGAAAAGCCCGCUCGCCGGAAGACCAAGGGUUCCUGUCCAACGUUAAUCGGGGCAGGGUGAGUCGACCCCUAAGGCGAGGCCGAAAGGCGUAGUCGAUGGGAAACAGGUUAAUAUUCCUGUACUUGGUGUUACUGCGAAGGGGGGACGGAGAAGGCUAUGUUGGCCGGGCGACGGUUGUCCCGGUUUAAGCGUGUAGGCUGGUUUUCCAGGCAAAUCCGGAAAAUCAAGGCUGAGGCGUGAUGACGAGGCACUACGGUGCUGAAGCAACAAAUGCCCUGCUUCCAGGAAAAGCCUCUAAGCAUCAGGUAACAUCAAAUCGUACCCCAAACCGACACAGGUGGUCAGGUAGAGAAUACCAAGGCGCUUGAGAGAACUCGGGUGAAGGAACUAGGCAAAAUGGUGCCGUAACUUCGGGAGAAGGCACGCUGAUAUGUAGGUGAAGUCCCUCGCGGAUGGAGCUGAAAUCAGUCGAAGAUACCAGCUGGCUGCAACUGUUUAUUAAAAACACAGCACUGUGCAAACACGAAAGUGGACGUAUACGGUGUGACGCCUGCCCGGUGCCGGAAGGUUAAUUGAUGGGGUUAGCGCAAGCGAAGCUCUUGAUCGAAGCCCCGGUAAACGGCGGCCGUAACUAUAACGGUCCUAAGGUAGCGAAAUUCCUUGUCGGGUAAGUUCCGACCUGCACGAAUGGCGUAAUGAUGGCCAGGCUGUCUCCACCCGAGACUCAGUGAAAUUGAACUCGCUGUGAAGAUGCAGUGUACCCGCGGCAAGACGGAAAGACCCCGUGAACCUUUACUAUAGCUUGACACUGAACAUUGAGCCUUGAUGUGUAGGAUAGGUGGGAGGCUUGGAAGUGUGGACGCCAGUCUGCAUGGAGCCGACCUUGAAAUACCACCCUUUAAUGUUUGAUGUUCUAACGUGGACCCGUGAUCCGGGUUGCGGACAGUGUCUGGUGGGUAGUUUGACUGGGGCGGUCUCCUCCUAAAGAGUAACGGAGGAGCACGAAGGUUGGCUAAUCCUGGUCGGACAUCAGGAGGUUAGUGCAAUGGCAUAAGCCAGCUUGACUGCGAGCGUGACGGCGCGAGCAGGUGCGAAAGCAGGUCAUAGUGAUCCGGUGGUUCUGAAUGGAAGGGCCAUCGCUCAACGGAUAAAAGGUACUCCGGGGAUAACAGGCUGAUACCGCCCAAGAGUUCAUAUCGACGGCGGUGUUUGGCACCUCGAUGUCGGCUCAUCACAUCCUGGGGCUGAAGUAGGUCCCAAGGGUAUGGCUGUUCGCCAUUUAAAGUGGUACGCGAGCUGGGUUUAGAACGUCGUGAGACAGUUCGGUCCCUAUCUGCCGUGGGCGCUGGAGAACUGAGGGGGGCUGCUCCUAGUACGAGAGGACCGGAGUGGACGCAUCACUGGUGUUCGGGUUGUCAUGCCAAUGGCACUGCCCGGUAGCUAAAUGCGGAAGAGAUAAGUGCUGAAAGCAUCUAAGCACGAAACUUGCCCCGAGAUGAGUUCUCCCUGACUCCUUGAGAGUCCUGAAGGAACGUUGAAGACGACGACGUUGAUAGGCCGGGUGUGUAAGCGCAGCGAUGCGUUGAGCUAACCGGUACUAAUGAACCGUGAGGCUUAACCUU
RNAcentral lists this ribosomal RNA (2902 nucleotides) under Escherichia coli. RNAcentral's name for it is "bacterial LSU rRNA". It matches the Rfam family "Bacterial large subunit ribosomal RNA". Lineage: Bacteria; Pseudomonadati; Pseudomonadota; Gammaproteobacteria; Enterobacterales; Enterobacteriaceae. The record is from RNAcentral.